Molecule: ribosomal RNA, 499 nt
Filed under: uncultured Glomeromycotina
Lineage: Eukaryota; Fungi; Glomeromycota
Description: partial small subunit ribosomal RNA
Rfam family: Eukaryotic small subunit ribosomal RNA
Source: RNAcentral
CCAAUAGCGUAUAUUAAAGUUGUUGCAGUUAAAAAGCUCGUAGUUGAAUUUCGAGACCGGUUUAUUGGUCGUGCUUUUGUACGUACUGGUAUUAUUGGUUUCUCCUUUCUGACGAAUCUUAAUGCCAUUAAUUUGGUGUUUUGGGGAAUCAGGACUGUUACUUUGAAAAAAUUAGAGUGUUUAAAGCAGGCUCACGCUUGAAUACAUUAGCAUGGAAUAACGGAAUAGGACGUUUGAUUCUAUUUUGUUGGUUUCUAGGAUCGACGUAAUGAUUGAUAGGGAUAGUUGGGGGCAUUAGUAUUCAAUUGUCAGAGGUGAAAUUCUUGGAUUUAUUGAAGACUAACUACUGCGAAAGCAUUUGCCAAGGAUGUUUUCAUUAAUCAAGAACGAAAGUUAGGGGAUCGAAGACGAUCAGAUACCGUCGUAGUCUUAACCAUAAACUAUGCCGACUAGGGAUCGGAUGAUGUUAAUUUUUUAAUGACUCAUUCGGCGCCUUACG